This 497-nucleotide ribosomal RNA is filed under the name uncultured bacterium. Its description in RNAcentral is "partial 16S ribosomal RNA". It matches the Rfam family "Bacterial small subunit ribosomal RNA", at positions 28 to 507 of the family's 1533-position model. The record is from RNAcentral.
GAUGAACGCUGGCGGCGUGCUUAAUACAUGCAAGUCGAGCGAACGGACGAGAAUCUUGCUUCUCUGAUGUUAGCGGCGGACGGGUGUGUAACACGUGGAUAACCUACCUAUAAGACUGGGAUCACUUCGGGAAACCGUCGCUAAUACCGGAUAAUAUUUUGAACCGCAUGGUUCAAAAGUGAAAGACGGUCUUGCUGUCACUUAUAGAUGGAUCCGCGCUGCAUUAGCUAGUUGGUAAGGUAACGGCUUAUCAAGGCAACGAUGCAUAGCCGACCUGAGAGGUGGAUCGGCCACACUGGAACUGGGACACGGUCCAGACUCCUACGGGAGGCAGCAGUAGGGUAUCUGCCGCAAUGGGCGAAAGCCUGACGGAGCAACGCCGCGUGAGUGAUGAAGGUCUUCGGAGCGUAAAACUCUGUUAUUAGGUAAGAACAUAUGUGUAAGUAACUGUGCACAUCUUGACGGUACCUAAUCAGAAAGCCACGGCUAACUACGUG